Molecule: long non-coding RNA, 3733 nt
Organism: Mytilus californianus (California mussel)
Lineage: Eukaryota; Metazoa; Mollusca; Bivalvia; Mytilida; Mytilidae
Exons: 3
Source: RefSeq, a predicted model, not a curated record
AGUCAGGUGUUGGUAGUUGGAGUGGUCUGUUAUACUGUCCAAUAUUUUGGUAAUUCCUGUUAUGAAUUUUAUAUAUUAUGAAAUAGUCAAUUGUUAAUGGUAAGAAAUUACUGGCAUAAUUUCAUGCAUGUUUAUUGACUGGCCGUUAGGGAAUGUUGUAGAACGUGAGAAUUAAGAAUGAUAAUCAAGCUGCAGGAGUGGGAGUGGCAACAUGGCUGUUAGGGAAUGUUGUAGAACGUGAGAAUUAAGAAUGAUAAUCAAGCUGCAGGAGUGGGAGUGGCAACAUGGCUGUUAGGGAAUGCUGUAGAGUGUGAGAAUUAAGAAUGAUAAUCCAGCUGCAGGAGUGGGAGUGGCAACAUGGCUGUUAGGGAAUGUUGUAGAAUGUGAGAAUUAAGAAUGAUAAUCCAGCUGCAGGAGUGGGAGUGGCAACAUGGCCGUUAGGGAAUGUUGUAGAAUGUGAGAAUUAAGAAUGAUAAUCCAGCUGCAGCAGUGGGAGUGGCAACAUGGCUGUUAGGGAAUAUUGUAUAAUGUGAGAAUUAAGAAUGGUAAUCCAGCUGCAGGAGUGGGAGUGGCAACAUGGCCGUUAGGGAAUGUUGUAGAAUGUGAGAAUUAAGAAUGAUAAUCCAGCUGUGGGAGUGGCAACAUGGCCAUUAGGGAAUGUUGUAGAAUGUGAUAAUUAAGAAUGAUAAUCCAGCUGCAGGAGUGGGAGUGGCAACAUGGCCGUUAGGGAAUGUUGUAGAAUGUGAGAAUUAAGAAUGAUAAUCCAGCUGCAGGAGUGGGAGUGGCAACAUGGCCGUUAGGGAAUAUUGUAGAAUGUGAGAAUUAAGAAUGAUAAUCCAGCUGCAGGAGUGGGAGUGGCAACAGCUUAAACUCUUUGUCUUAAGGUUUAUAUUUCAGAAGGUAUAGCAGCUAAAUAAUCCAUAUUUUAUAUACAGUGUACAUAAGCUUUGAAGUUUUAAUCUGGCUUGUUGUCUUUGGCUUAUUUUCAUAGUUCAGUGACUACUAAAGUUUUUUUUUUAUAGUUUUUUUAUCACUUGAUUUGUCCAGUUUUUAUGAGUAAAAUGGCAACUAUAUUUAUUAGUAGAAUUAUUGCAAGGUCUGCAUGUCAGUCAGAUGGUUCACCAGACCAUGACCUCAUUUCAUGUUUCAUUGAUCAAGGUUCAGUUUUCAUGAUAAUUUCCAUUUCUGAGUAAUACAUAUACAGACUGAGGUCAUUUGAUCAUUGUUGCUUCUGUCUUGUAGACUGAGGUCAUUCAAUCAUUGUUGCUUCUGUCUUGUAGACUGAGGUCAUUUGAUCAUUGUUGAUUCUGUCAUGACGACUGAGGUCAUUUGAUCAUUGUUGAUUCUGUCUUGUAGACUUAGGUAAUUUGAUCAUUGUUGAUUCUGUCAUGACGACUGAGGUCAUUUGAUCAUUGUUGAUUCUGUCUUGCAGACUUAGGUCAUUUUAUCAUUGUUGAUUCUGUCUUGCAGACUUAGGUCAUUUGAUCAUUGUUGAUUCUGUCUUGCAGACUUAGGUCAUUUGAUCAUUGUUGAUUCUGUCUUGCAGACUUUGGUCAUUUGAUCAUUGUUGAUUCUGUCUUGCAGACUGAGGUCAUUUGAUCAUUGUUGAUUCUGUCUUGCAGACUUAGGUCAUUUGAUCAUUGUUGAUUCUGUCUUGCAGACUUAGGUCCUUUGAUCAUUGUUGAUUCUGUCUUGUAGACUUAGGUCAUUUGAUCAUUGUUGAUUCUGUCAUGACGACUGAGGUCAUUUGAUCAUUGUUGAUUCUGUCAUGACGACUGAGGUCAUUUGAUCAUUGUUGAUUCUGUCAUGACGACUGAGGUCAUUCGAUCAUUGUUGAUUCUGUCUUGCAGACUGAGGUCAUUUGAUCAUUGUGUCAUUUGAUAUGAAAUAGAGAUCAGUUACAGAGAUGUCAAAUUCACAAGUACAUUUUGGAAUGAUGUCCAUAAUUAAAUAUCUAUGACACAUUUUGUUGCCAUGGCAGUGUCAAUUUGGCACAGACAUUUUGUUAUUUGUGAUGUGAUCUUGCAUGAUGAAACUGUGUAAUUUAAUUUAAUUUUGUCAUGAUAGGUGUCUUUAAUAUAAAAAUAGAGGAUGUGGUAUGAUUGGCAAUGAGACAACUCUUUACCAGAGAUCAAAUGAUGUAGAAGUUAGCAACUAUUGGUCCCCAUACAGCCAUCAACAAUGAGCAAAAGCCAUACUGCAUAGCAAGCUAUAAAAGGCCAUGAAAUGACAAAUGUAAAACACUUCAAAUGAGAAAACUAACUGCCUGAUAAAAGCACAAAAAAAUAAAAAAAAACAAAUAUAAGAUACAGCAAUAAACAACAACCACUGAAUUACAGGCUCCUGAAUUGAGACAGGUACAUGCUGUAUGGGUUUUGCUCAUUGUUGAAGGCCGUACAGUCACCUAUAGUUGUUAAACUCUAUGUCAUUUGAUCUCUGGUGGAGAGUUGUCUCAUUGUCAGUCAUACCACAUCUUCUUAUUUUUAUACAUAAAAAACAACAUUGUUUUGAAUUUAAGAUUAUCCCAUUGAGUAUUGAUUUACAGAAAGGGUAACUAAGAAUAAAAAAAGAUAAUUUGUAUAAUAAGCUUGAUAUUUUUUCUUAAUUACUUACAAGAAAAACAUUUAUCAUUCAGUGAUUAUGGAGUGUGCUGCUAUUUAAUUAAUGUUUAGUAGAUACACAAAUUCUCCUAUCUUUCAGUAGAUGUUCAAUUUAUUUUUAUGAUUAGUUGCUAUAAAUGACCACUUUUAACUGAAAACCAUAUAUUAAAUUAGGCAUUAUGAAACACCAUUUACCCAAUUAUUUCAUCAAAAUUGAUGGUAUAAAAUUAACUUAAGAAAUAAUUCUUUCAUUCCAUGCUCUAUGCUCAUUUUAACAUGGGUAGGUGUUAUAUUUGUCAUCAUCUUUAUGCCAAGUGUUAGUGAGGUACAAAAUGUUGACAAAUAUAAUGCCUACUUAUGUUUCAAUGAGCAUAGAGAGUGGCAUGAUAGAAUUAUUUUGAUUCUAAUAGGAAAAUUUAGAACUUGUGUAUAGAUAUAAGAAGAUGUGGUAUGAGUGCCAAUGAGACAACUCUCCAUCCAAGUCAAAAUUUAUAAAAGUAAACCAUUAUAGGUCACAGUACGGUCUUCAACACGGAGCCUUGGCUCACACCGAACAGUAAGCUAUAAAGGGCCCUAAAAAAUUACUAGUGUAAAACCAUUCAAACGGGAAAACCAACGGUCUAAUCUAUAUAAAAAACGAGAAACGAGAAACACUUAUGAACCACAUCAACAAACGACAACUACUGAACAUCAGAUUCCUACAUGACUUAGAAGCACUUUAAAAAAAGUGAUUUUAUUUAAUGAAGCUAAAAAUCGACCGUUUCCAACCGUUAAAAAUUGAAGAGAUUAUUUUAAGAACGAUUUUAUUUAAUUUCCAAGUGAGCAACACAGAGCAACCUCAGGCAUCAUUCAAAAUACAAUUGAUGUUGUAAAUUUAAUUGUGACAUCAAUCACGAGCAUCCCAUGAUCUAUUUGAAUUAUAUAUUAGAACAUGGUUUUGUUUACAAAGCCAAAGAAGAAUGUCAUAUUAAAAGAGAAAACUUAUUUUUACUUUGUUUUAAUAAUACAUACAUAAAGCUGUAAGAUGUGCUUUUGUGUUUCUUCCUGAUAUGCUGUGGCUAAGGAUUUUUAUGAAUGCACAUUUUAAAUGAAGUAGAGAAAAUUUAACAAUAUAUAACAGCUUUUUUUCUUUU